This 473-nucleotide ribosomal RNA is filed under the name uncultured bacterium. RNAcentral's name for it is "bacterial SSU rRNA". It matches the Rfam family "Bacterial small subunit ribosomal RNA", at positions 11 to 523 of the family's 1533-position model. The record is from RNAcentral.
GUUUGAUCAUGGCUCAGAGCGAACGCUGGCGGCAGGCUUAACACAUGCAAGUCGAACGCGUGUAGCAAUACACGAGUGGCGCACGGGUGAGUAACGCGUGGGCAUCUGCCUCAUGGUUCGGAAUAACCCCGGGAAACUGGGGCUAAUACCGGAUGGUACCUUCGGGUUAAAGAUUUAUCGCCAUGAGAUGAGCCCGCGUCCGAUUAGCUAGUUGGUGAGGUAACGGCUCACCAAGGCGACGAUCGGUAGCUGGUCUGAGAGGACGAUCAGCCACACUGGGACUGAGACACGGCCCAGACUCCUACGGGAGGCAGCAGUGGGGAAUCUUGCGCAAUGCGCGAAAGCGUGACGCAGCAACGCCGCGUGCGGGAAGACGGCCUUCGGGUUGUAAACCUCUUUCAGCAGGGACGAAGCGCAAGUGACGGUACCUGCAGAAGAAGCACCGGCUAACUACGUGCCAGCAGCCGCGGUAA